This 98-nucleotide small nuclear RNA is filed under the name Chinchilla lanigera (long-tailed chinchilla). RNAcentral describes it as "U4 spliceosomal RNA (ENSCLAG00000020486.1)". The record is from RNAcentral. Lineage: Eukaryota; Metazoa; Chordata; Mammalia; Rodentia; Chinchillidae.
AGCUUUGCACAGUGACAGUAUCAUAGCCAAUGAGGUUUAUCCGAGGUGCGAUUAUUGCUCAUCAAAUCUUAGAUUUUUUUAGAUAUGAUCUUGAAAGC